GAUGAACGCUGGCGGCGUGCCUAAUACAUGCAAGUCGAGCGAACAGACGAGGAGCUUGCUCCUUUGACGUUAGCGGCGGACGGGUGAGUAACACGUGGAUAACCUACCUAUAAGACUGGGAUAACUUCGGGAAACCGGAGCUGAUACCGGAUAACAUGUUGAACCGCAUGGUUCAACAGUGAAAGACGGUCUUGCUGUCCCUUAUAGAUGGAUCCGCGCCGCAUUAGCUAGUUGGUAAGGUAACGGCUUACCAAGGCAACGAUGCGUAGCCGACCUGAGAGGGUGAUCGGCCACACUGGAACUGAGACACGGUCCAGAGUCCUACGGGAGGCAGCAGUAGGGAAUCUUCCGCAAUGGGCGAAAGCCUGACGGAGCAACGCCGAGUGAGUGAAGAAGGUCUUCGGAUCGUAAAACUCUGUUAUUAGGGAAGAACAAAUGUGUAAGUAACUAUGCACGUCUUGACGGUACCUAAUCAGAAAGCCACGGCUAACUACGUG
RNAcentral lists this ribosomal RNA (497 nucleotides) under uncultured bacterium. RNAcentral's name for it is "partial 16S ribosomal RNA". It matches the Rfam family "Bacterial small subunit ribosomal RNA", at positions 28 to 507 of the family's 1533-position model. The record is from RNAcentral.